CAGGCAAUGCCUUAGUAGCGGCGAGUGAAGCGGCAAUAGCUCAAAUUUGAAAUCUGGCACCUUCGGUGUCCGAGUUGUAAUUUGAAGAAGGUAUCUUUGGUUUUGGCUCUUGUCUAUGUUCCUUGGAACAGGACGUCACAGAGGGUGAGAAUCCCGUGCGAUGAGAUGCCCAAUUCCAUGUAAAGUUCCUUCGACGAGUCGAGUUGUUUGGGAAUGCAGCUCUAAGUGGGUGGUAAAUUCCAUCUAAAGCUAAAUAUUGGCGAGAGACCGAUAGCGAACAAGUACUGUGAAGGAAAGAUGAAAAGAACUUUGAAAAGAGAGUGAAAAAGUACGUGAAAUUGUUGAAAGGGAAGGGCUUGAGAUUAGACUUGGAAUUUUCCAUUUAUGGAGCUUUCCGGGCCAGCAUCAGUUUGGAUGGCAGGAUAAUUGCGUUGGAAAGUAGCACCACUUCGGUGGUGUGUUAUAGACUUCGUCGAUACUGCCUAUCUAGACUGAGGACCGCGUCUUUGACUAGGAUGCUG
This 521-nucleotide ribosomal RNA is filed under the name Yamadazyma membranifaciens. Its description in RNAcentral is "eukaryotic LSU rRNA". It matches the Rfam family "Eukaryotic large subunit ribosomal RNA", at positions 69 to 628 of the family's 3401-position model. The record is from RNAcentral. Lineage: Eukaryota; Fungi; Ascomycota; Pichiomycetes; Serinales; Debaryomycetaceae.